RNAcentral lists this ribosomal RNA (232 nucleotides) under uncultured bacterium. RNAcentral describes it as "partial 16S ribosomal RNA". It matches the Rfam family "Bacterial small subunit ribosomal RNA", at positions 30 to 269 of the family's 1533-position model. The record is from RNAcentral.
UUGAACGCUGGCGGCAUGCCUUACACAUGCAAGUCGAACGGUAGAGGGGCAACCCUUGAGAGUGGCGAACGGGUGAGUAAUGCAUCGGAACGUGCCCAGUCGUGGGGGAUAACGCAGCGAAAGCUGUGCUAAUACCGCAUGUGAUCUGUGGAUGAAAGCAGGGGACCGCAAGGCCUUGUGCGAUUGGAGCGGCCGAUGUUAGAUUAGCUAGUUGGUAGGGUAAAAGCCUACC